RNAcentral lists this ribosomal RNA (322 nucleotides) under Pinkfloydia harveii. Its description in RNAcentral is "SSU rRNA". It matches the Rfam family "Eukaryotic small subunit ribosomal RNA", at positions 1476 to 1792 of the family's 1831-position model. The record is from RNAcentral. Lineage: Eukaryota; Metazoa; Arthropoda; Arachnida; Araneae; Tetragnathidae.
GAUGUUCGGGGCCGCACGCGCGCCACAUUGAAGGAAUCAGCGUGUGCUUUCCCUGUCCGACAGGACUGGGUAACCCGUUGAACCUCCUUCGUGCUGGGGAUAGGGGUUUGUAACUGUUCCCCUUGAACGAGGAAUUCCCAGUAAGCAUGAGUCACUAGCUCGUGUUGAUUACGUCCCUGCGCUUUGUACACACCGCCCGUCGCUAUUAUCGAUGAAUGUUGGAGUGAGAUCUUCGGACUGGUGCCCGGACUGGACUUUGCGGUUCGAGCCGGAGUGCCGGAAAGAUGACCGAACUUGAAUAUUUAGAGAAAAUAAAAGUCGU